This 184-nucleotide small RNA is filed under the name uncultured archaeon A07HR60. It matches the Rfam family "Sense overlapping transcript RNA 0042 (sot)". Rfam says of the family: It is associated with IS1341-type transposase (tnpB) genes, at the 3'-end in H. salinarum NRC-1. The record is from Rfam.
AAGUAACUCCGAGUCUCGCCUGUGAUGGCGGUGAGAGGAGUAACGGCUGGUUGGCACAGCCAUCGACGGUCCUGUUUGACACGGAGACUGGCUCGUUCGAGCCUCGAGAGGAGGUACGGUCAUAGACCACAAUAUCCCACAUCAGCGGCGCGGUGCCGUGGGAAUCCCCGCCGGCGGGCGGGGA